CCUACGGGGGGCAGCAGUGAGGAAUAUUGGUCAAUGGGCGGGAGCCUGAACCAGCCAAGCCGCGUGAGGGAAGAAGGUACAGCGUAUCGUAAACCUCUUUUGUCAGGGAACAAAGGCGGGGACUAGUCCCCGGAUGAGGGUACCUGAAGAAAAAGCAUCGGCUAACUCCGUGCCAGCAGCCGCGGUAAUACGGAGGAUGCGAGCGUUAUCCGGAUUUAUUGGGUUUAAAGGGUGCGUAGGUUGGUUGUUAAGUCAGUGGUGAAAGUUUGUGGCUCAACCAUAAAAUUGCCGUUGAAACUGGAAGACUUGAGUGUGUUUGAGGUAGGCGGAAUGCGUGGUGUAGCGGUGAAAUGCAUAGAUAUCACGCAGAACUCCGAUUGCGAAGGCAGCUUACUAAGCCAUAACUGACACUGAAGCACGAAAGCGUGGGGAUCAAACAGGAUUAGAUACCCGAGUAGUC
RNAcentral lists this ribosomal RNA (460 nucleotides) under uncultured bacterium. RNAcentral describes it as "partial 16S ribosomal RNA". It matches the Rfam family "Bacterial small subunit ribosomal RNA", at positions 338 to 795 of the family's 1533-position model. The record is from RNAcentral.